GGGUAUCCUCCCACCCUUUGUUUAUUAUACCUUUGUUGCUUUGGCGGGCCCGUCCUCGGACCACCGGCUUCGGCUGGUCAGUGCCCGCCAGAGGACCUAAAACUCUGUUUGUUCAUAUUGUCUGAGUACUAUAUAAUAGUUAAAACUUUCAACAACGGAUCUCUUGGUUCUGGCAUCGAUGAAGAACGCAGCGAAAUGCGAUAAGUAAUGUGAAUUGCAGAAUUCAGUGAAUCAUCGAAUCUUUGAACGCACAUUGCGCCCCCUGGUAUUCCGGGGGGCAUGCCUGUUCGAGCGUCAUUACAACCCUCAAGCUCUGCUUGGUAUUGGGCUCUGCCGGUCCCGGCAGGCCUUAAAAUCAGUGGCGGUGCCAUUCGGCUUCAAGCGUAGUAAUUCUUCUCGCUUUGGAGACCCGGGUGCGUGCUUGCCAGCAACCCCCAAUUUUUUCAGGUUGACCUCGGAUCAGGUAGGGAUACCCGCUGAACUUAAGCAUAUCAAUAAGCGGGGGA
This 506-nucleotide ribosomal RNA is filed under the name Pseudeurotium bakeri. RNAcentral describes it as "eukaryotic LSU rRNA". The stretch from base 144 to 297 matches the Rfam family "5.8S ribosomal RNA". Lineage: Eukaryota; Fungi; Ascomycota; Leotiomycetes; Thelebolales; Pseudeurotiaceae. The record is from RNAcentral.